Molecule: ribosomal RNA, 1389 nt
Filed under: metagenome
Description: SSU rRNA
Rfam family: Eukaryotic small subunit ribosomal RNA
Source: RNAcentral
GUAGUGAUAUGCUUGUUUCAAAGAUUAAGCCAUGCAUGUCUAAGUAUAAGCGAACUUAUACAGUGAAACUGCGGAUGGCUCAUUAAAACAGUUUGAAUUUAUUUGAUGAAUGUAUGAGAAUACUACUUGGAUAACCGUAGUAAUUCUAGAGCUAAUACAUGCAACGACGCCCGACCGUUUCACUACGGAAGGGCUGUAUUUAUUGGAUACCAAAACCAUCCUUCCCUCGGGAAGUUUUGUUUGAUGAUUCACAAUAACUGAUCGGAUCGCCACUGUGGUGGCGACAGGUCAUUCAACAUUCUGCCCUAUCAGCUUUCGAUGGUUGUGUAGUGGACAACCAUGGCCAUAACGGGUAACGGAGAAUCAGGGUUCGAUUCCGGAGAAGGAGCUUGAGAAUUGGCUACUACAUCUAAGGAGGGCAGCAGGCGCGCAAAUUACCCAAUCCCGAUUCGGGGAGGUAGUGACAAAAAAUAACAAUACCGGGCCUUUUUGGGCUUGGUAAUUGGAAUGAGGGAGAGUUAAACGGACCAUCGAGUAUCCAUUGGAGGGCAAGUCUGGUGCCAGCAGCUGCGGUAAUACCAGCUCCAAUAGCGUAUAUUAAAGUUGUUGCAGUUAAAAAGCUCGUAGUUUGACUUGUGUGCGCUGUCCGCGGGUGGCCUGCGCCCAAAAGGGCGUUUCGGUUCGGCCCCGGUGGCGCCUUGAAAUCUGCAGCUGGGGGGACGUUGGCCUUAACUGGUCGGCGACCGCACGCCGGCUGCUCGGUUACUGUGAGAAAAUUAGAGUGUUCAAGGCAGGCAUUGGGUGCAAUUGAAUACAUUAGCAUGGAAUAAUAAAAUAUGGCUCCUGCCGUAUUUUGUUGGUUUUGACUGGUGGGAGUAAUGAUUGAUAGGGACGGUUGGGGGUGCUAGUAUUGAGCGGCCAGAGGUGAAAUUCAUGGAUUCGCUCAAGACUAACUUAUGCGAAAGCAUUCACCAAGGACGUCCUCUUUAAUCAAGAACGAAAGUUGGGGGAUCGAAGACGAUCAGAUACCGUCGUAGUCUCAACCAUAAACUAUGUCGACUUGGGAUCGGCGGUAGUUUUUUCAUUAAGACACUGUCGGGACCACGGGAGAAAUCAAAGUGUCUGGACUCUGGGGGAAGUAUGGUCGCAAGGCUGAAACUUGAAGGAAUUGACGGAAGGGCACUACCAGGAGUGGAGCCUGCGGCUUAAUUUGACUCAACACGGGGAAACUUACCAGGUCCAGAGAUGUAGAGGAUUGACAGAUUGAAGCUCUUUCUUGAUCACUUCGGUGGUGGUGCAUGGCCGUUCUUAGUUGGUGGAGUGAUUUGUCUGGUUAAUUCCGUUAACGAACGAGACCUCAGCCUGCUAGUGUAGUCGGCUGGAUUGCCG